GUGGGGAAUAUUGGACAAUGGGCGAAAGCCUGAUCCAGCCAUGCCGCGUGUGUGAAGAAGGUCUUCGGAUUGUAAAGCACUUUAAGUUGGGAGGAAGGGCAGUAAGUUAAUACCUUGCUGUUUUGACGUUACCAACAGAAUAAGCACCGGCUAACUUCGUGACAGCAGCCGCGGUAAUACGAAGGGUGCAAGCGUUAAUCGGAAGUACUGGGCGUAAAGCGCGCGUAGGUGGUUCAGCAAGUUGAAGGUGAAAUCCCCGGGCUCAACCUGGGAACUGCCUCCAAAACUACUGAGCUAGAGUACGGUAGAGGGUAGUGGAAUUUCCUGUGUAGCGGUGAAAUGCGUAGAUAUAGGAAGGAACACCAGUGGCGAAGGCGACUACCUGGACUGAUACUGACACUGAGGUGCGAAAGCGUGGGGAGCAAACAGGAUUAGAUACCCUAGUAGUCC
Molecule: ribosomal RNA, 450 nt
Filed under: uncultured bacterium
Lineage: Bacteria
Description: bacterial SSU rRNA
Rfam family: Bacterial small subunit ribosomal RNA
Source: RNAcentral